AUUGAACGCUGGCGGCAGGCCUAACACAUGCAAGUCGAGCGGAGCGGCGGACGGGUGAGUAAUGCCUAGGAAUCUGCCUGGUAGUGGGGGAUCACGUCCGGAAACGGGCACUAAUACCGCAUACUAUCAGAUGAGCCCAGGUCGGAUUAGCUAGUUGGGGUGGUAAAGGCCUCCCAAGGCGACGAUCCGUAACUGGUCUGAGAGGAUGACCAGUCAAACUGGAACUGAGACACGGUCCAGACUCCGACGGGAGGCAGCAGUGGGGAAUAUUGGACAAUGGGCGAAAGCCUGAUGCAGACAUGCCGCGUGUGUGAAGAAGGUCUUCGGAUUGUAAAGCACUUUAAGUUGGGAGGCGUUACCAACAGAAUAAGCACCGGCUAACUUCGUGCCAGCAGCCGCGGUAAUUC
Molecule: ribosomal RNA, 407 nt
Filed under: uncultured bacterium
Lineage: Bacteria
Description: partial 16S ribosomal RNA
Rfam family: Bacterial small subunit ribosomal RNA
Source: RNAcentral